GGCCUAAUAGUGUAGUGGUUAACAUACCUCUUUCGGGUAGAGGUGAUCCCUGGUUCGAAUCCUGGUUAGCCCG
RNAcentral lists this transfer RNA (73 nucleotides) under Schizosaccharomyces japonicus yFS275. Its description in RNAcentral is "tRNA-Pro (CGG) (tRNA-Pro-CGG-4-1)". It matches the Rfam family "tRNA". Rfam says of the family: Transfer RNA (tRNA) molecules are approximately 80 nucleotides in length. Lineage: Eukaryota; Fungi; Ascomycota; Schizosaccharomycetes; Schizosaccharomycetales; Schizosaccharomycetaceae. The record is from RNAcentral.